AGAACUACUUCGUGUAGACAAAGACACAGAAAAGUGCAAAAAAUAAAUCCUCUUUUGCAACCCAGAACUUAUUGUUUAAUAUGAGUUUUGAUACAUAUAAGAAAGACUAUU
This 111-nucleotide small nucleolar RNA is filed under the name Tupaia belangeri (northern tree shrew). Its description in RNAcentral is "Small nucleolar RNA SNORA40 (ENSTBEG00000020851.1)". It matches the Rfam family "Small nucleolar RNA SNORA40", at positions 22 to 128 of the family's 128-position model. From Rfam's summary of the family: The snoRNA ACA 40 belongs to the H/ACA family of snoRNAs and guides the pseudouridylation of 28S rRNA subunit at position U4565. NB This family has a high threshold value to exclude a large number of closely related sequences that do not appear to have conserved H and ACA boxes, and may be pseudogenes. The record is from RNAcentral. Lineage: Eukaryota; Metazoa; Chordata; Mammalia; Scandentia; Tupaiidae.